This is a long non-coding RNA of Haplochromis burtoni (Burton's mouthbrooder), 2145 nucleotides long. RefSeq lists it as uncharacterized. The record is from RefSeq and is a predicted model, not a curated record. The transcript has 3 exons. NCBI's taxonomy places the organism in Eukaryota, Metazoa, Chordata, Actinopteri, Cichliformes, Cichlidae.
CCUUCUUGUUCAUUUCACUGAGGUAGACAAUAACACCAGCAACUCCGCUUUUCAUAAGAUGGUGUGAGUAUCUGUAAGGGUGAAGGUGCCUAUCAUCAGCAGUCCUUUAAGGAAAGUCUACUCUACAAAGAGAGAUUAGAACCGACAGCGAGGUGACUCUGAAAGCAAAGGAUCUAAACCAUCAGCUCUCAAGUCAUUGGACUAAGCUCAACUUUUGUCAGAACAAACACUCACAAUGGGAAGAGGUGAAAGUGAAGUGUGGGAGGAAAACCCUGACGAUGUUAAGCAAACUCAACCCAAAAAACACACACCCACAAAGAGUAAAAGCACAGAGAAAUCGGGGAGUAGCUGUCCCGCGUGCUGCUUGAAGACAAGGAACUGCCUGAUGAGCCCAGAGUGUGGCAGGGCACUUCAGAUCUCCCGUGUUGUUGCUAUGUGUGGAAUGUGUCUCCGCAUGUUUAUUAGAUGAACCUUGGACGACACGACCAACCUGGAAUAUAUUAUUAUUAUUAAAUCUCCUCCAGCACUUUGCAUGAAAAUCAUGCCAUUACUCAAAGAAGAUAAAAAUGAAGUAACAUAUGAGAAAACAUGUAAAUAAGACCAACACUAAUUAUUAGUAGUCAAUCAGUGGAAACACUGAGGUAAAGUGAAUGUUACCUUAUUAUAAAGUUAAACUUUUUUAAAAAAACUUUAACACUGAAGCCUCUCGUAAUAAAAUCAUGUUUGCUUAAUCAGAAUGCUACAGUAUUUAGUCAAAGCAGUUGUAUAUUUAUUUUUGAAAAAAAUUUCAUUAAUGUAAAAAAUAAUUAUAGUAAAUAAACUGGCACAUCUAAGUAGUAUCUUAUCUAGGUUUCUGCUGAUGAAAAAUGUUAACUAAAGCUUUUAGUAACAUCCCUGUAAUGACAACACAAGUGUGUCACCUGUACCAGUGCUAAUAAUAAAAGCAUUUAAUUAUUUAAAUACUUUAUACUGUCAACGCCCUCACUUGAAGCCUGUUGGGAAAUAACCAGACUAAGGAGGUAUCUUCACAUAUUAACAAAAGACAGCUAUGCCAUUACUCAUGCUUGUGAGUCAGACCCUUUCAUGGCGUGCUAUUGACGUCAUGGAAAAGCCAUUGAAGAUUUUAUGUCAAUAACAUUGGCAACUAGAUGGUGGAGAGUUUUAUAAAUAGCAUUUUUACAAAACUAUCACGAGCCAAUUCCAGUACUUUUUGGGAAGGAAAAAAAUCCAGGUUGCUGGUUGCACAAAACUACUACCUCUUCCUUUUCAACAAGAUUUCAGGCUCACCUGAUCACUGCAAGGUUUAGUUGACCUUGUUGUGAAAAACCUAGUGGGAGAUUCUGUGACACGGUUAAAAAUAAAAAUUGGCCACCAUUAAAAGAAAAAGAGAAUGACCUUUCUUGUCAAAUAGGGCAAGUGAAACACACACCCCCUUUGCUCUCUGUUGCUUUACUUUUGACUCAACUGCUCAUGUACCUGUGUGUGCACGUUUGAUAGGGUUAAAUUGCUUGCUGUGGCUUACUUGGCUUGAUGUAGCUGCAAAAUGUUGGUUGCAUCUAUAUACAAAGCAGCUUAGCUACCUUGCAGGCUCAUUGUUCUUACUGAAACAAGCUGUUCAGUCUAACUGCAAAUAUUUGGGGAAUGUGGUUCUCCUCAAUGUUGCCUUUUAUAGAUGGAACAUCUUUCUUUUAUUAUUAGGCAAGCUAAAAAAUCCUAAUUUAUCCUGGAUUGUUGACAAAAGACUCCUCUUUGACGUAGGGCGAAAGAACAUGUUGGUCCUAUUAUUGUUGGUUACAAAAAAGGCAGUUGUUUUGCACUCCCUUCCCCAGGAAAGCCAAAUAAAUUGAAAUGGAUUUGUUCGAUAUCCAAAAAAAAUCACCUUCAAUAAAGUUUGCCUAAAUAGCUAGCUGAUUUUCUGAGUCUAAAAUGGCAUACAGGUUGAGCUGUUGUGCUCACAACCAGACCACAGUAAGAAAAUGCCCUGUCUUUCCAACAAAUCCAAGAGUAGAAAAUACUGUAAGGGACCUUAUUUGUUUGUUUAGCCAAAUCCAAUGAGACAGUGUUUACCUUUAUACCCCUUUAUCUACAUUUUCAUACCUCUUUAUUUCAAACUUUGAGCCUCCACCAUUGUAAAAGUAUCUAUUU